RNAcentral lists this ribosomal RNA (421 nucleotides) under uncultured eukaryote. RNAcentral describes it as "bacterial SSU rRNA". It matches the Rfam family "Eukaryotic small subunit ribosomal RNA", at positions 592 to 1017 of the family's 1831-position model. The record is from RNAcentral.
CAAUAGCGUAUAUUAAAGUUGUUGCAGUUAAAAAAGCUCGUAGUUGGAUUUCUGGCCGAGUGUCCCUAGGCCAGCAUGACGUUUGGUCCUAGGCGCUCUGCCAUCCUUCUGUCAACCUUCGCCUUCUUCAUUGGGGGCGCUGGGGCUCAGAUAUUUUACCUUGAGAAAAUUAGAGUGUUUCAGGCAGGCUUUCGCCGGAAUACAUUAGCAUGGAAUAAUGGAAAAGGACUUCAACCUCUUCUGUUGGUCUGAGAGGCUGUAGUAAUGAUUAAUAGGGAUAGUUGGGGGGCAUUAGUACUUAACUGUCAGAGGUGAAAUUCUUGGAUUUGCUGAAGACUAACUACUUGCGAAAAGCAUUCGCCAAGGAUGUUUUCAUUAAUCAGGGAACGAAAGUUAGGGGAUCGAAGACGAUCAGAUACCA